UGGGGAAUAUUGCACAAUGGGCGCAAGCCUGAUGCAGCCAUGCCGCGUGUGUGAAGAAGGCCUUCGGGUUGUAAAGCACUUUCAGCGAGGAGGAAGGUGGUGAGCUUAAUACGCUCAUCAAUUGACGUUACUCGCAGAAGAAGCACCGGCUAACUCCGUGCCAGCAGCCGCGGUAAUACGGAGGGUGCAAGCGUUAAUCGGAAUUACUGGGCGUAAAGCGCACGCAGGCGGUUUGUUAAGUCAGAUGUGAAAUCCCCGGGCUCAACCUGGGAACUGCAUUUGAAACUGGCAAGCUAGAGUCUCGUAGAGGGGGGUAGAAUUCCAGGUGUAGCGGUGAAAUGCGUAGAGAUCUGGAGGAAUACCGGUGGCGAAGGCGGCCCCCCUGGACGAAGACUGACGCUCAGGUGCGAAAGCGUGGGGCAGCAAACAGGAUUAGAUACCCUGGUAGUCCACGC
RNAcentral lists this ribosomal RNA (455 nucleotides) under uncultured bacterium. RNAcentral's name for it is "partial 16S ribosomal RNA". It matches the Rfam family "Bacterial small subunit ribosomal RNA", at positions 355 to 800 of the family's 1533-position model. The record is from RNAcentral.